CCCGGCGAGGGGAGUGAAAAAGAACCUGAAACCGUGUACGUACAAGCAGUGGGAGCCCCACCACUAAGCCAGUGGUGAACUCCACAUCCGCAUCCUUUGCUGAGGAUACGGUUAACGGAGCGAAAGCGACGUUCAACCGCAAAACAAGCAGAGGGGGCUUAGUGGUGGGGUGACUGCGUACCUUUUGUAUAAUGGGUCAGCGACUUAUAUUCUGUAGCAAGGUUAACCGAAUAGGGGAGCCGGAGGGAAACCGAGUCUUAAUUGGGCGUUAAGUUGCAGGGUAUAGACCCGAAACCCGGUGAUCUAGCCAUGGGCAGGUUGAAGGUUGGGUAACACUAACUGGAGGACCGAACCGACUAAUGUUGAAAAAUUAGCGGAUGACCUGUGGCUGGGGGUGAAAGGCCAAUCAAACCGGGAGAUAGCUGGUUCUCCCCGAAAGCUAUUUAGGUAGCGCCUCGUGAAUUCAUCUCCGGGGGUAGAGCACUGUUUCGGCUAGGGGGCCAUCCCGGCUUACCAACCCGAUGCAAACUGCGAAUACCGGAGAAUGUUAUCACGGGAGACACACGGCGGGUGCUAACGUCCGUCGUGAAGAGGGAAACAACCCAGACCGCCAGCUAAGGUCCCAAAGUCAUGGUUAAGUGGGAAACGAUGUGGGAAGGCCCAGACAGCCAGGAUGUUGGCUUAGAAGCAGCCAUCAUUUAAAGAAAGCGUAAUAGCUCACUGGUCGAGUCGGCCUGCGCGGAAGAUGUAACGGGGCUAAACCAUGCACCGAAGCUGCGGCAGCGAACGUAUCACCCAAGACAACUUUACGGAGUUGACGAUUGACGGAGCGAAGCGACGUCAAAGCGUUCAUUAAAGUCGAGUUGGCUUAGGGAUACGUUCGUUGGGUAGGGGAGCGUUCUGUAAGCCUGUGAAGGUGUGUCGUGAGGCAUGCUGGAGGUAUCAGAAGUGCGAAUGCUGACAUAAGUAACGAUAAAGCGGGUGAAAAGCCCGCUCGCCGGAAGACCAAGGGUUCCUGUCCAACGUUAAUCGGGGCAGGGUGAGUCGACCCCUAAGGCGAGGCCGAAAGGCGUAGUCGAUGGGAAACGGGUUAAUAUUCCCGUACUUGGUGUUACUGCGAAGGGGGGACGGAGAAGGCUAUGUUGGCCGGGCGACGGUUGUCCCGGUUUAAGCGUGUAGGUGUGUGUUCCAGGUAAAUCCGGUUCACUUUAACACUGAGGCGUGACGACGAGGCACUACGGUGCUGAAGCAACAAAUGCCCUGCUUCCAGGAAAAGCCUCUAAGCAU
This 1287-nucleotide ribosomal RNA is filed under the name Salmonella enterica subsp. enterica. RNAcentral describes it as "partial 23S ribosomal RNA". It matches the Rfam family "Bacterial large subunit ribosomal RNA", at positions 525 to 1629 of the family's 2925-position model. The record is from RNAcentral. Lineage: Bacteria; Pseudomonadati; Pseudomonadota; Gammaproteobacteria; Enterobacterales; Enterobacteriaceae.